GCUCCUCUGAGUAGGCUAGCCAGACCACCUGAGGCCAGGCAGCUAGGGUGCAUCUGGGGCUGAGGAUGAGAAAGGAAGACCCUGCACCCAGGCUGGCCACCCAGCCAGGUGGUACUGGUGGCACUUCACACUUUCCUCAUCCUGAGCUUCGUGUCUCUAAGACGGAGCUGGUAUGUCAUCACUGCUCAAACGCCAACAUCCCUGCACGAGUGCGGCGCAUCCUAAGUGCCCAUUUUGUGUUCUCAGCAGCUAGCAGCUAUUAGCGUUACGAGAAUCCUAAGCCCACUCUGCUCUUCUCUGCACUGGAAUCGCCGCACUGCCUUGAGUGGAUUGCAAAGAUUUACCAAGUAACCUGGCAACAGCUCCCUGCCAGAACCCACAGCUGACAUCACACUGGCGCAGUAAGAAACGGCACGUUAGAGGAGCCACUUUCAAAUCGUGAGCAUGGCGAGCAUGAAGAUAAAAUGGUCCAGUCCAGAGAAACUCUGGCACAUGGGUACCAGGGACACACAGAAGGCUGUUUAGAGGGCCUCUCUAGUCUCCACAAAGGUGAGAGGAACGGCUUGGUUUCUCUUUGCUGAAUAAGAUGGAACAGACCGACCCUGGCUUGUCAGGAAACGGACAAAGUGCCAGCUCUUGGCUUGGUGGAAAUUUCUGGUGCUGGCUGAGCCGAGUCCAGCUUGAGGAGCACAGGACAGCUGAUGUGACCAUGGUCCUGGAAGGUAUUUCAUCAGAGGAACCCCCAAAGCAGGAGAAAUGAGUGGGGUGGGUGACGGUGGGGCGCCCCAGUGGGUACUCAAGGUGCUACCUAAAAAGGAUGCCAUGUGGAGAAGGGCCAAAUGCCUGUGGGUUGCAGUCACCUGGAUAGUCCCCUUCCUCGCUGGACCUAACAGUGGAGCUCGCUCUGGGGGCUUCAGCAGCGUCUCUGCAAGCUC
Arvicola amphibius (Eurasian water vole) is the source of this 935-nucleotide long non-coding RNA. RefSeq lists it as uncharacterized. The transcript is spliced from 4 exons. Lineage: Eukaryota; Metazoa; Chordata; Mammalia; Rodentia; Cricetidae. The record is from RefSeq and is a predicted model, not a curated record.